AGCGGCGAGCGAAAGGGAAAGAGCCCAAACCGGAAACUUGUUUCCGGGGUUGUGGACAUAACAUAAAAGUGGAGGCUAUUGUAACUGAAGAGAACUGGAAAGUUCCACCGUAGAAGGUAAUAGUCCUGUAAGUGAAACGAGAAGACCACGAGUUAUGAUCCAGAGUACCACGAGACACGUGAAACCUUGUGGGAAGCAGGGAGGACCACCUCCCAAGGCUAAAUACUACCUGAUGACCGAUAGUGAAGCAGUACCGUGAGGGAAAGGUGAAAAGAACCCCGGGAGGGGAGUGAAAUAGAACCUGAAACCGUGUGCCUACAACCGCUCAGAGCCCCUUAUGAGGGUGAUGAGGUGCUUUUUGUAGAACGAGCCAACGAGUUACGGUAUGUAGCAAGGUUAAGUACUUAAGGUACGGAGCCGAAGGGAAACCGAGUCUGAAUAGGGCGACUAGUUGCAUGCCGUAGACCCGAAACCGGGUGACCUAUCCAUGGCCAGGUUGAAGCGAGGGUAAAACCUCGUGGAGGACCGAACCACGUUGCUGUUGAAAAAGCAUGGGAUGAGCUGUGGAUAGCGGAGAAAUUCCAAUCGAACCCGGAGAUAGCUGGUUCUCUCCGAAAUAGCUUUAGGGCUAGCGUCGAGUAUGAGUAGUGGAGGUAGAGCACUGAAUGGGCUAGGGGGCAUAGCGCUUACCGAACCUUAUCAAACUCCGAAUGCCACAUACUUUGAGCUCGGCAGUCAGACUACGAAUGAUAAGAUCCGUGGUCAAAAGGGAAACAGCCCAGAUCGUCAGCUAAGGUCCCAAAGUGUAAGUUAAGUGGGAAAGGAUGUGAGAUUUCUAAGACAACUAGGAUGUUGGCUUAGAAGCAGCCAUUCAUUAAAAGAGUGCGUAAUAGCUCACUAGUCGAGAGAUCUUGCGCCGAAAAUGUAACGGGGCUAAACUUACCACCGAAGCUACGGGCUUGAACUUAGUUCAAGCGGUAGGAGAGCGUCGUAACCGGGCUGAAGUCGUACCGUAAGGAGCGGUGGACUGGUUACGAGUGAGAAUGUUGGCAUCAGUAGCGAGAUGUGGGUGAGAAUCCCACAGGCCGAAAACCUAAGGUUUCCUCAGGAAGGUUCGUCCGCUGAGGGUUAGUCGGGACCUAAGCCGAGGCCGAAAGGCGUAGGUGAUGGACAACUGGUUGAUAUUCCAGUACCACUACCAUCGUUAUUAUCGAUGGCGUGACGCAGGAGGAUAGUGUGUGCUAGCUAUUGGAUGCUAGUCUAAGCGUUUAGGCAGUGAGAGUAGGCAAAUCCGCUCUCAUAAUGCUGAGGCGUGAUGGGGAAGGUUCUACGGAACCGAAGUACAUGAUUCCACGCUGCCAAGAAAAGCGUCUAGAGAGAGAAGUAGUGCCCGUACCGCAAACCGACACAGGUAGGUGAGGAGAGAAUCCUAAGGCCGGCGGAAGAAUUACAGUUAAGGAACUCGGCAAAUUGACCCCGUAAGUUCGCGAGAAGGGGUGCCUACGAGAGUAGGCCGCAGAGAAUAGGCCCAAGCAACUGUUUAGCAAAAACACAGGUCUCUGCUAAAGCGUAAGCUGAUGUAUAGGGGCUGACGCCUGCCCGGUGCUGGAAGGUUAAGGGGAACACUUAGCGCAAGCGAAGGUGUGAACUUAAGCCCCAGUAAACGGCGGCCGUAACUAUAACGGUCCUAAGGUAGCGAAAUUCCUUGUCAGGUAAGUUCUGACCCGCACGAAUGGCGUAAUGACUUGGGCACUGUCUCAACUGUAAAUCCGGCGAAGUUGUAGUGCGAGUGAAGAUGCUCGCUACCCGCGAUUGGACGGAAAGACCCCGUAGAGCUUUACUGUAGCUUAGCAUUGAGUUUUGGUAUUGUCUGUACAGGAUAGGUGGGAGACUAGGAAACCAGGGCGUCAGCCUUGGUGGAGUCAACCUUGGGAUACCACCCUGACAGUACUGAAAUUCUAACUGGCGGCCAUGAAUCUGGUCACAGGACAUUGUUAGGUGGGCAGUUUGACUGGGGCGGUCGCCUCCUAAAAAGUAACGGAGGCGCCCAAAGGUUCCCUCAGAACGGUCGGAAAUCGUUCGAAGAGUGCAAAGGCAGAAGGGAGCCUGACUGCGACACCCACAAGUGGAGCAGGGACGAAAGUCGGGCUUAGUGAUCCGGUGGUACCUCGUGGGAGGGCCAUCGCUCAACGGAUAAAAGCUACCUCGGGGAUAACAGGCUGAUCUCCCCCAAGAGUCCACAUCGACGGGGAGGUUUGGCACCUCGAUGUCGGCUCGUCGCAUCCUGGGGCUGAAGUAGGUCCCAAGGGUUGGGCUGUUCGCCCAUUAAAGCGGCACGCGAGCUGGGUUCAGAACGUCGUGAGACAGUUCGGUCCCUAUCCGUCGCGGGCGUAGGAAAUUUGAGAGGAGCUGUCCUUAGUACGAGAGGACCGGGAUGGACUGACCUCUGGUGUACCAGUUGUUCCGCCAGGAGCACAGCUGGGUAGCUAAGUCGGGAAUGGAUAAACGCUGAAAGCAUCUAAGCGUGAAGCCAACCU
This 2537-nucleotide ribosomal RNA is filed under the name Clostridium perfringens. RNAcentral describes it as "partial 23S ribosomal RNA". It matches the Rfam family "Bacterial large subunit ribosomal RNA", at positions 245 to 2799 of the family's 2925-position model. Lineage: Bacteria; Bacillati; Bacillota; Clostridia; Eubacteriales; Clostridiaceae. The record is from RNAcentral.